Molecule: ribosomal RNA, 561 nt
Filed under: Phascolosoma esculenta
Lineage: Eukaryota; Metazoa; Annelida; Sipuncula; Phascolosomatiformes; Phascolosomatidae
Description: partial 16S ribosomal RNA
Rfam family: Bacterial large subunit ribosomal RNA
Source: RNAcentral
CCAUUUCAGAUUUGGAGGCAUUGCCUGCCCAGUGACAACUGUUUAACGGCCGCGGUAUCCUGACCGUGCAAAGGUAGCAUAAUCAUUUGUUCUCUAAAUAAGGACUUGUAUGAAUGGCCGCACGAGGGUUUUACUGUCUCUUACUUCCAAUCAGUGAAAUUGACCUUCCCGUGAAGAGGCGGGAAUGCACAAAUAAGACGAGAAGACCCUAUGGAGCUUUAACUAACCAACCCAAAGAGAAUAGAUUUAACCAUUAAGGAAUAACAACAAUCUCCAUGAGUUGGUAGUUUCGGUUGGGGUGACCUCGGAGAAUAAAAAAUCCUCCGAGCGAUUUUAAAGACUAGACCCACAAGUCAAAUCACUCUAUCGCUCAUUGAUCCAAAAACUUGAUCAACGGAACAAGUUACCCUAGGGAUAACAGCGCAAUCCUAUUCAAGAGUCCAUAUCGACAAUAGGGUUUACGACCUCGAUGUUGGAUCAGGACAUCCUGAUGGUGCAACCGCUAUCAAAGGUUCGUUUGUUCAACGAUUAAAGUCCUACGUGAUCUGAGUUCAGACCGGA